UAAAUCAUUUAAUGAGAGGCUGACACUGAAAAUAUCAAUAGUGCGAAGAUCACAGCUUCUUUUUUGAGAUCUAUGCUUCAAGCAGCAGCCCCAAGAGAAAAUCCAAUUCCCUGCAGUCGUUGUGUACUGUAGACACAGAAAGGUGUGUUACUACACAUGUCAGCACCCCCAUCCAAGUGCUCCUUCCAUCCCCAUGAAAUCACAUUGUGAGGUAUCAUUGAUGCACAGAUUCCACCAUACUGCAUCAGGACUGACCUCAGUAUUCACUUCCCAGAGGUGGGAAGAAUCAUUCCUACCCUUCUUCAAGCAAGAGGAAAAUAUGUAUGUUAAUGUUACACUUAUUAACUAUAAUUAAUUAAUUCUUAGAUUACAUACUUGAUGUGGACAUGUCACUGACUUCUGUUGCAAAACUCCUCCCAUCCUUUGACCUGUCUCCUCUAAGUGUCUAAAGAACAGAUCAGGCAGUAAAGUCAGACACCUCCGUUUCUUUCCAUGCACUGAUAAUCCAGAAGGAUGAAAGUUACAUUUCAAGAGACAAGAGAACGUCAUGGAUGCUGAUUUUCUUGGAAAGACCCACUGGUCAGAGUCCCACACCAUUAACACCUUGGAGGAAAGAUACCCCACAGUGCAAAAUAGACUAAAAACGAGCAACAAAAAUAUUAACUCUUCAGAGUGAAUAGCAUGGUUACUUGUUUACCAAAAGG
Meleagris gallopavo (turkey) is the source of this 704-nucleotide non-coding RNA. The record is from RefSeq and is a predicted model, not a curated record. NCBI's taxonomy places the organism in Eukaryota, Metazoa, Chordata, Aves, Galliformes, Phasianidae.